This 418-nucleotide long non-coding RNA is filed under the name Hordeum vulgare. RNAcentral describes it as "long non-coding RNA (HVUL_LNC002727)". Lineage: Eukaryota; Viridiplantae; Streptophyta; Magnoliopsida; Poales; Poaceae. The record is from RNAcentral.
GGGAAAAUAGAUGGUUGGGAGGGGAGAAGCUAGAGGCCGGGGACGUUUUCCCUUCACCCAUUUCCCUCCAGUUGGUUUUAUCUGAAGUGCUUCAUUCCAUCGCUUAGUUGGGGAGCUAACCUGGGUUUGGUACGCUGUUUGGUGAUUAGCGUUUGCGUUCAGGUGGUAAAUCAUAAGUGACCACAUAUAUGAUGCGUGUAUCCGUUUAGGAAUGAGACGUAUCAGGAUGACUUGUCUCCGGUUAACUGUAACUACCUGCUGCUUUGAACAAAUCGAGAUUCAACACACAUUCUUUUAGGCGUUAAUUGUGGCGGAGUGAUGCUCCACAACACCAGCUGGAUGCUCAAUGAUUAAGCUGGAUGAGCGCUAUGAAGUUGUUUGAUGCCUGGAGAUUAACGAUCUUACUGUAAUCUUUCUU